RNAcentral lists this ribosomal RNA (110 nucleotides) under Myotis davidii. The record is from RNAcentral. Lineage: Eukaryota; Metazoa; Chordata; Mammalia; Chiroptera; Vespertilionidae.
GUCUACGGCCAUACCACCCUGAACGCGCCCGAUCUCGUCUGAUCUCAGAAGCUAAGCAGGGUCGGGCCUGGUUAGUACUUGGAUGGGAGAAAACAAGGAAGAAAAAAACA